RNAcentral lists this non-coding RNA (69 nucleotides) under Helianthus annuus (common sunflower). The record is from RNAcentral. Lineage: Eukaryota; Viridiplantae; Streptophyta; Magnoliopsida; Asterales; Asteraceae.
UUUAGCCGGAUGAAAGGAAACUUUCACGUCCGAUUUUUAGGGGGGGGGGGUGGGAGAUCCUAUCCCAAU